Molecule: ribosomal RNA, 396 nt
Filed under: uncultured bacterium
Lineage: Bacteria
Description: partial 16S ribosomal RNA
Rfam family: Bacterial small subunit ribosomal RNA
Source: RNAcentral
CCUACGGGCGGCUGCAGUGAGGAAUAUUGGUCAAUGGUCGGGAGACUGAACCAGCCAAGCCGCGUGAGGGAUGAAGGUACAGAGUAUCGUAAACCUCUUUUGUCAGGGAACAAAGUCGGGGACGUGUCCCCUGAUGAGUGUACCUUAAGAAAAAGCAUCGGCUAACUCCGUGCCAGCAGCCGCGGUAAUACGGAGGAUUCGAGCGUUAUCCGGAUUUAUUGGGUUUAAAGGGUGCGCAGGGGGGUUUGUAAGUCAGGGGUGAAAGUUCCGGGCUCAACCCCAGCCCGGCCUUUGAAACUGGCAGGCGUGAGUUGGAGAGAAGUAUGCGGAAUGCGCGGUGUAGCGGUGAAAUGCAUAGAUAGCGCGAAGAACUCCGAUUGCGAAGGCAGCAUGCCG